RNAcentral lists this ribosomal RNA (440 nucleotides) under uncultured bacterium. Its description in RNAcentral is "bacterial SSU rRNA". It matches the Rfam family "Bacterial small subunit ribosomal RNA", at positions 355 to 787 of the family's 1533-position model. The record is from RNAcentral.
UAGGGAAUCUUCCGCAAUGGACGAAAGUCUGACGGAGCAACGCCGCGUGAGUGAUGAAGGCUUUCGGGUCGUAAAACUCUGUUGUUAGGGAAGAACAAGUACGAGAGUAACUGCUCGUACCUUGACGGUACCUAACCAGAAAGCCACGGCUAACUACGUGCCAGCAGCCGCGGUAAUACGUAGGUGGCAAGCGUUAUCCGGAAUUAUUGGGCGUAAAGCGCGCGCAGGCGGUUUCUUAAGUCUGAUGUGAAAGCCCACGGCUCAACCGUGGAGGGUCAUUGGAAACUGGGGAACUUGAGUGCAGAAGAGAAAAGCGGAAUUCCACGUGUAGCGGUGAAAUGCGUAGAGAUGUGGAGGAACACCAGUGGCGAAGGCGGCUUUUUGGUCUGUAACUGACGCUGAGGCGCGAAAGCGUGGGGAGCAAACAGGAUUAGAUACCC